Long non-coding RNA from Trichosurus vulpecula (common brushtail), 174 nucleotides. RefSeq lists it as uncharacterized. The transcript is spliced from 4 exons. Lineage: Eukaryota; Metazoa; Chordata; Mammalia; Diprotodontia; Phalangeridae. The record is from RefSeq and is a predicted model, not a curated record.
CAGGCAUGGAUGGUCCACCAGGGUAUUCGGGACCACCUGGUCCACCAGGUCCUCCAGGACUUCCAGGUGAAAAGGGUCAAAUGGGUUUGAGUUUUCAAGGACCCAAAGGUGACAAGGGUGAGCAAGGUGUUAGUGGACCUCCAGGUGAACCAGGACAAGCUCAAAUAGGAAAAA